UCUAUCAAAUCGAUAUGCCUAAUCUGUCCAGUAUCUGGAGGAAACACCCCACUAUUCAUGGACAUGAUAAGUUCCUGUGUAUCUUCACCUUUGCCAACAUACAAGACCCACAAAAACACUGCAGCCGACACAACACAUAAUAGCAUCAUCCCAAUCUUCUUUCUAGGUGCAAAUUUGCAGAUCCAAAGAAAUAAUCCUUCUUUCUCCUUGAACAUUUUUGGGGGCUUUCGUGGUGGAACAAGG
This 243-nucleotide unclassified non-coding RNA is filed under the name Hevea brasiliensis (rubber tree). Lineage: Eukaryota; Viridiplantae; Streptophyta; Magnoliopsida; Malpighiales; Euphorbiaceae. The record is from RNAcentral.